This 951-nucleotide long non-coding RNA is filed under the name Carica papaya (papaya). RNAcentral's name for it is "long non-coding RNA (CPAP_LNC004896)". The record is from RNAcentral. Lineage: Eukaryota; Viridiplantae; Streptophyta; Magnoliopsida; Brassicales; Caricaceae.
UUUUUUUUUUCAUUUCUUGUUUGUAUUUUAUUUCAUUUAUUUAUUUUUUUUAAGCUUUGCAAGAUGAUGAUUUGAGCCAUGAUUAUAGUUUUGGUUCCACUCUCUUACAUUUUCAUUUUUAACUUUUAUGUUUUCCUCUUCUUCUUCUUCUUCUUCUUCUUCUUCUUCUUUCUUUCUUUCUUUCUAUCUCUCAUUGCCUCUGUUUUCACAUCCUUAAAUGGCAUUUUGGGAUAAAUUUUAUUUUGGAUCUUAAAUCAUCAGAGAACGCUGAAAAAAGUACAAUGGGGAUGCUAGUUAUGGAAGGAGAUUUAAAAAUUUGUUCUUUUUCUGGGUUUUCGAUUCUGUUCAUGAACAGUUUUGAAAAAUUUUCAAAUUCAUUUUUGUGUUUUACUUACUUUGGCUUUUUCUUUUUGGGUGAGGGGCUGUUCAUUACGUUUAUGCAGUACCAAUUAAUGAUUUGUAAUUCCUGUAUUGACUAUAAAGAUGACAACUUUAGAGUUCUCUUGAUAAUGGAUAUUACUUGAUAGUAAAAUUUUAGGAAUUUCUCUUAGAUUUUCAGGGUUUUUCAAUUUAUUUUUUACAUUUUGUUGUGGGUAUAUUUCAAAUAAUUGAAUUCGACAUCUUAAAGUGUUUAAUAUUAAUUACAUGAUCUAAAGUUUUAACCUUUAUGUUCUGGGUCAAUUCUGAUUGAGCUAACCGUAGUCUUGGACCUUUUCGUAUCCCCUGAAUUCUUCCUCAAAUCACUGAAUUAGACAGCUUAAAGUGUUUAAUGUUAAUUAUAUUGUCUAAAGUUUUAACCUUUAUGUUCUAGGUCAAUUCUGAUUCAACUAACAAUAGUCUUGGACCUUUUUGAAUGCCCUGAAUUCUUCCUCUAUCCGUGCACAUUUGUUUCUUUUUCUGGUUUGGGUUUGUUUUCAACUUAUAUUAUUCUGCACAAUUACUGUAGAUUCN